RNAcentral lists this ribosomal RNA (452 nucleotides) under uncultured bacterium. Its description in RNAcentral is "bacterial SSU rRNA". It matches the Rfam family "Bacterial small subunit ribosomal RNA", at positions 29 to 524 of the family's 1533-position model. The record is from RNAcentral.
AACGAACGCUGGCGGCAGGCUUAACACAUGCAAGUCGAACGGGCGUAGCAAUACGUCAGUGGCAGACGGGUGAGUAACACGUGGGAACCUUCCUCGUAGUACGGAACAACUCAGGGAAACUUGAGCUAAUACCGUAUACGUCCGAGAGGAGAAAGAUUUAUCGCUAUGAGACGGGCCCGCGUCCGAUUAGGUAGUUGGUGGGGUAACGGCCUACCAAGCCGACGAUCGGUAGCUGAUCUGAGAGGAUGAUCAGCCACACUGGGACUGAGACACGGCCCAGACUCCUACGGGAGGCAGCAGUGGGGAAUCUUGGACAAUGGGCGCAAGCCUGAUCCAGCCAUGCCGCGUGAGUGAAGAAGGCCUUAGGGUUGUAAAGCUCUUUUGCCAGGGACGAUAAUGACGGUACCUGGAGAAUAAGCCCCGGCAAACUUCGUGCCAGCCGCCGCGGUAAC